UUGUAUACGCAUUGGCGGCUGAAGGCGCUAUUCGUCGCAAGCGGCGGCAAUGCGUCGGUUUUGCAACGUAUUUUACAGCAUUAAUUAUUUCGGAUUACAUCGUACGAUAUUUUCAAAAUAAACUAGGAGCAUUAGCAUAACUAUGUAACGUUAUAAUAUGUUUUAAACUCUGUUAUGGCCUGUAUUUCGUGAUUUAUGAUAAAAUAAAUAACGUAGGCGGUUUCGUCGGCUAGAACGGCCGCUAUGAGAUCAUCAAAGACGCCAACGGCCGCACCUAUAGUUUACAAACUAUAAGAAAAUAAUACUUUAAAUAUCGAACAAUACGUUCUGGUAACAUUUAAAGUCUUUGUAAAUAAAAAUUGAGUACUUUUAUUGCGUUAUUCUAUUACUUCAACCUAUGUGUAAUAGAGUAAAACGAACAAAUCGAAAUAAAAAAUCACGAUUGGCGGUUAGGAGACCGUUGACGCCGACAACGGCGGCUACAACAGCGGUAUCGGCGGCCCGGUACAAAAGGGGCUGCUAUAAAUUCCCAGCUCAGUCCUCCUUGCUUAUACGUGCAGUUACAAUACUGAAUUUUGUUCGUAGAUACUAACAAUUUUCUAGUAUCUUUCUUAAAAUCUCAGAUAACAUUGUGGCAACGAAACGUGCAUCAAUAUUAUACAUUACAAAAAUGUUGGACUUUUACGUUGUAAUAUUUUGUUGCAACAAGACCAUCGAUUACAUAUUUUAUCUUAUUCGAUUUAUAAUUAUAUCGAAUAUGUUAAGCUUCCUUUGUUUCUUUACUUUGCCUAAAAAUUAUAAAAAUUUUGAAUAGUAUUGCAUAUUUAAUGUAAAAUAUGUAGACAUAUCGAUUUUUCUAUGUGAGUACAAUUAACAUUCAUCUUGUCAUAGAUCCGCUGUAACAUUACAAUCAUGCGAGCGAGCAUAUUUAUCAUUCUGGCCUUCGCCGCCGGAAUUAUCGUAGCGACAUCUAGAAAUCGUAAUUAUUCUGAUUUCGUAAAAUAUACGAGACCGCGAGAAAUCCGAAAUUCUGAUGAUUCAGUCAAUCCUGGUAGAAAACAAAUUAUGGCAUAUGGUUUUGGAAAAAGGUGGGGAUAUGGUUUUGGAAAAAGGUGGGGAUAUGGUUUUGGAAAAAGGAAAAAUACUGUUGAUAAAACGUUGACGGAGGGUCCGGAAGGGGAAUCAAAUGAAAAGCGGGGUGUUGCAGUUGGGUUUGGAAAAAGGAAAAGUACUGUUGAUGAUCCAAACAUUAUUAAACACGAACAAAUUACACUUUUACGAUACUUUCCGGAAGGGAUACCUGUGGAGUGGCUACUUCAGCAAAUAAAAACAAACCCAACUUUUGCUGCAAAAUUAACGCAGUUGUUAAUAGAUGAGCAUGCUGAUUCGUCAAUGGUAGAUGAUUAUUGAAUGAUCAACUGAUG
Molecule: RNA transcript, 1424 nt
Organism: Colletes gigas
Lineage: Eukaryota; Metazoa; Arthropoda; Insecta; Hymenoptera; Colletidae
Exons: 4
Source: RefSeq, a predicted model, not a curated record